GAUGAACGCUGGCGGCGUGCCUAAUACAUGCAAGUCGAGCGAACAGACGAGGAGCUUGCUCCUCUGACGUUAGCGGCGGACGGGUGAGUAACACGUGGAUAACCUACCUAUAAGACUGGGAUAACUUCGGGAAACCGGAGCUAAUACCGGAUAACAUGUUGAACCGCAUGGUUCAACAGUGAAAGACGGUCUUGCUGUCACUUAUAGAUGGAUCCGCGCCGCAUUAGCUAGUUGGUAAGGUAACGGCUUACCAAGGCAACGAUGCGUAGCCGACCUGAGAGGGUGAUCGGCCACACUGGAACUGAGACACGGUCCAGACUCCUACGGGUGGCAGCAGUAGGGAAUCUUCCGCAAUGGGCGAAAGCCUGACGGAGCAACGCCGCGUGAGUGAAGAAGGUCUUCGGAUCGUAAAACUCUGUUAUUAGGGAAGAACAAAUGUGUAAGUAACUAUGCACGUCUUGACGGUACCUAAUCAGAAAGCCACGGCUAACUACGUG
Molecule: ribosomal RNA, 497 nt
Filed under: uncultured bacterium
Lineage: Bacteria
Description: partial 16S ribosomal RNA
Rfam family: Bacterial small subunit ribosomal RNA
Source: RNAcentral